UGUUAUGGACAAUACUGGAGACACUAAAC
Molecule: small RNA, 29 nt
Filed under: Arabidopsis thaliana (thale cress)
Lineage: Eukaryota; Viridiplantae; Streptophyta; Magnoliopsida; Brassicales; Brassicaceae
Description: ATSL207170
Source: RNAcentral